AGCAGUCGCCGCGGUAAUACGAAGGGUGCAAGCGUUAAUCGGAAUUACUGGGCGUAAAGCGUGCGUAGGCGGUUUGUUAGGUCUGCUGUGAAAUCCCCGGGCUCAACCUGGGAAUGGCAGUGGAUACUGGCAAGCUAGAGUGUGUCAGAGGAUGGUGGAAUUCCCGGUGUAGCGGUGAAAUGCGUAGAGAUCGGGAGGAACAUCAGUGGCGAAGGCGGCCAUCUGGGACAACACUGACGCUGAGGCACGAAAGCGUGGGGAGCAAACAGGAUUAGAUACCCCAGUAGUCCCUGUCUCUUAUAC
Molecule: ribosomal RNA, 303 nt
Filed under: uncultured bacterium
Lineage: Bacteria
Description: partial 16S ribosomal RNA
Rfam family: Bacterial small subunit ribosomal RNA
Source: RNAcentral